UCUGGAAUUUUCCAUUUAAUAUUUUUGGACCUUAGUUAACGGAAGGUAACUGAAACCAUGGAAAGUGAAAUCAUGGUUAAGUGGGGCUAUGAUAAAUUGUGACCACCAAAAACAACAGAAUUCAUAACUGGCACGAUGCAGCUAUUUCUCCACUAAGGGCCCUGAGUGUUCUUUGAGUGUAAAAUUUGUGUUUCUAUUUUGGUGGUUAUCUAAAAAAAAGCUAGCAUCUGUGUGUUGCAGAUCAUCUGGCUGAUUACCGCACAGCUCGAAUUCUGCUUCAUGAUGCCUGCAUUCACAUUUUGUCUUGGAUUCCAGAUGUACUGGCACUACUGAGAUGCUGAAAGCUCGGGAUCCCCUAUAACUGUCUUCUUCAUCACCAACCCAAGAGUACAGCUGCAGAAUUGCAAAGCCAGUUCUUCAGUGUAACAUGCAUAUUUGAUGAUCGGUGUCCACCAAAUUACAGGCUUUUAUCUUUUUAAUCUUUGGGAGUGAGAGUAGUUGACUUUUAAUUUAUGAAUUUGUAUUAAAAGCAAAAAUGUCUGGAGAAAAGCGGUAAACUGGAAAUUAUGAUUGGUGUAAUUUACAAUAGAAAUAGGCAAUUUCGAAUAAAGAGCAGAAAACCAUACCUAAUUUAUGCAUGAGGACAGAAUGCAUGCUGAAAUUAAGACAAGAUUGACACUGAAAGACUAGGCAGAAAAAAAAAACAGAACAGAAAAAGAAGAGAAGAGUGGUGGAAAUGUCAACAGAUUCCUAGUGGAAAUAUUUGCUCACAGCCAUCAAGCUGUACAAGUUUGAAAAAGUAAGAUCAACAAAAUAUAUUACAAGGAUCUUUCUGAACUGGCUCUCAACCUUUUCUUUUUCCCUCAUCCCAUUCUAUUUAUACACAUCACAGUCCCAAGAAUAACACAAGAAAUUCUCCAAGUUUCCAAGAAGGGAAGAUGGAGUGGAGGGCGCCCACCCUAUCUCCAGUGGACAUCCCCUGGGCUACUCCUCUCCUGAUGAGAAAAUGCUCACUUCAGCCAAGUGCAGAAUGGUCCCCUUUGUUUUCGUGGGUAUCAGUGGAGAAUGAGAUCCUUCAUAUGGAAUCUCCCUGUGUUGCUCAGGCUGAUCUCGAACUCCUGAGCCCAAGCAUGCAUCAGCCUCUCAGUAGCUGUGAUUACAGGCAUUGAGUCACCACUCCUGAGAAAUAACAGGACUUUGGUGCUAUUCUCCAAGCUGAAAGCCAUCCUCUUCGGCCCUGAGGACACAGCUUUUUCUGCCAUAACUCACUGUCUCCACUGGCUCAAUUAGCCAAUUAGUGGCAUUGUAGAGGGCUGAGAUGUUACUUUUUAGUUUCCAAUAAAAUUCUCAAGUUGGUUUCAA
This 1362-nucleotide long non-coding RNA is filed under the name Homo sapiens (human). RNAcentral describes it as "HSALNT0394683". The record is from RNAcentral. Lineage: Eukaryota; Metazoa; Chordata; Mammalia; Primates; Hominidae.